RNAcentral lists this long non-coding RNA (1090 nucleotides) under Homo sapiens (human). RNAcentral describes it as "HSALNT0066152". Lineage: Eukaryota; Metazoa; Chordata; Mammalia; Primates; Hominidae. The record is from RNAcentral.
UCCCAGUUCAAGAACCCCCAGGCAGAAAGAAUUCUGUCUUACUUGGGAGAGGUUGGGGGGGGGGGGUCAGUCUUUAUGUUCUAUGCAGGCCUUCAGUUGAUUGGAUGAGGCCCACCCACAUUAGAGAAGGCAGUUUGCUUUAUUCACUCUACUGAUUUAAAUGUUAAUCUCAUCCAAAAACGCCCUCACAGAAACACCCACAGUAAUGUUUGACUAAACAUCUGGGAACCCCAUGACCGAGGCUUCUGACUCCUCCAAAACAUAACUAAUAAUGGAGCCUUAUUGAUAACAUAGACAAUUAACACAUAUUUUGUCUAUGUAUUAUUUACUGUAUUCUUAUACUAAAAUAAGCUAGAUAAAAGAAAAUGUUAUUAAGAAAAUAGAUCUACUCUUCAUUAAGUGGAAGUGGAUUAUCAUAAAGUUUGUCAUGUAGAGUAGGCUGAGGAGGAGGAGGAGGAAGACAAGGGCUCCAUCUUGCUGAAGAGAAGGGCUCCAUCUUGCUGUUUCUGGGUGGCAGAGAUGGAACAGAUAGAGGAGCUGGAAGAGGAAGCAGAAGAGGAAGACACACUUUGUUUUUUUACACUGAGGAAAUCUGGUCAUGAUCUUCUCAUUUCAUCAAUGGAAAACCAGAAUUCUCAAGAAAGAGACCUAAGCAGCUGAAAGCGUGCGGUGGCUCACGCCUAUAAUCCCAGCACCUUGGGAGGCCAUGGCAGGAGGAUCACCUGAGAUCAGGAGUUCAAGACCAGCCUGGUGAAACCCCAUCUCUACAAAAAAUACAAAACUUAGCCGGGCAUGGUGGCAUGCACCUAUAACCCCAGCUACUAGGGAGGCUGAGACAGGAAAAUCGCUUGCACCCGGGAGGUGGAGGUUGCAGUGAGCCAAGAUCACACCACUGCACUGCAGCCUGGACAACAGAGCAAGACUCCAUCUCAAAUAAAUAAAUAAAUAAAUAAAUAAAUAAAUAAAUAAAUAAAUAAGAAUAGCAGGUUCCUGGUUGCGUAGCUUUCUGCAUAUGGCAGAGAAAACCAAUACCUUGGAUCACCAUGGAGUACAAUACUGUAGUUGUUCAUUUCCAGGUGAUACAGCACAG